Long non-coding RNA from Oxyura jamaicensis (ruddy duck), 229 nucleotides. RefSeq lists it as uncharacterized. The transcript has 3 exons. The record is from RefSeq and is a predicted model, not a curated record. Lineage: Eukaryota; Metazoa; Chordata; Aves; Anseriformes; Anatidae.
AGAGCUGCGUCCUCUCCCUCAAGUUCGCCGCCUGCGGGAAGUGGUUUGUGAGCACAGGGAAGGACAACCUGCUCAAUGCCUGGCGCACCCCCUAUGGUGCCAGCAUCUUCCAGUCCAAAGAGUCCUCCUCUGUGCUGAGCUGUGACAUCUCUGUCAAUGACAAAUUCAUUGUCACGGGCUCUGGCGACAAGAAGGCCACAGUGUACGAGGUGGUGUACUGAGGGCCCAG